UACGUAGGGGGCGAGCGUUGUCCGGAAUCAUUGGGCGUAAAGAGCGUGUAGGCGGCUUGGCAAGUCUAACGUGAAAGCCCGCGGCUCAACCGCGGAUUGUCGUUGGAAACUGCCUCGCUAGAGUCCGGAAGAGGAGAGCGGAAUUCCUGGUGUAGCGGUGGAAUGCGCAGAUAUCAGGAAGAACACCCGUGGCGAAGGCGGCUCUCUGGGACGGUACUGACGCUGAGACGCGAAAGCGUGGGGAGCGAACAGG
This 253-nucleotide ribosomal RNA is filed under the name uncultured bacterium. RNAcentral describes it as "partial 16S ribosomal RNA". It matches the Rfam family "Bacterial small subunit ribosomal RNA", at positions 524 to 776 of the family's 1533-position model. The record is from RNAcentral.